This 423-nucleotide long non-coding RNA is filed under the name Bos taurus (domestic cattle). RNAcentral's name for it is "long non-coding RNA NONBTAT021883". Lineage: Eukaryota; Metazoa; Chordata; Mammalia; Artiodactyla; Bovidae. The record is from RNAcentral.
AUGGAUGUUGAAGCUGACAGAUCUCGGAGGCUACAACCACCCUCACCCUCCAAGACAUCAAAAGAAGGACAGGAUCUGUCUACCAAAUUACGUCUGAAAAUGGAGUCCAUUAGAGUAUAAUCUUACCCAACUAUUGUUUUCUUCAGGAGGAAAUAAUGGAGAGCACAUGCAGAUGCAUCAUAUCAGGCUCCUGUUUCCAGAAUUACAGUCUUAAAGCUGCCAGGACUGUUUAAGAGCAGGGAUGAUCAGAUUGUUCGGCAUAUGAAACACCAUUUUCUGAACAUUUAAGCAGGUGAGGCAGGAGAAUGUGAAACAACUGGCAAAGAGAACUUGAAAUAUUCAAGCAAAGGACUUUUUUUUUCCUUCUCAGCUUUCAAGACAUCCUGUUUUUCCACAAAAUAAAUGAAUCAUAUUUUCUAUUCU